RNAcentral lists this non-coding RNA (46 nucleotides) under Schistosoma haematobium. Lineage: Eukaryota; Metazoa; Platyhelminthes; Trematoda; Strigeidida; Schistosomatidae. The record is from RNAcentral.
GCACUGCUGAGCAGCUCCAAAAUAGGGCGAAACGGCCGUCCAGUGC